GUUGAGAAAACUCUUCAUGAAUGCAUACACACAAUGAAAGGGUGCUACGUAGACCAAAAGGGUAAACAUUUCUGAGUCUGGGUGGAUCGUGUAUUAUCCACACCAAUUGGCUCAAGCACGUGGUUAGUGAAGUUUGAUAAGUGGGAAUUGUCUGGAAAUGAGCGCUGUUGUUGUGUGACCACUGCUAAAAUAAAUGCAAAGGGAUCCGGUGCUUCAGACGGGUACACUUGGAUGAAUGUGCAGCAAAAGUGGUUAGAAGGGUAUGAAAAAAAGGAUGAUUCAACCUGGCUUUUCUAAGGUACACUGCAACACCAUUCUGAAUCUGGAAUCAUUAUCAAAGAAUAAA
Hibiscus syriacus is the source of this 346-nucleotide long non-coding RNA. RefSeq lists it as uncharacterized. NCBI's taxonomy places the organism in Eukaryota, Viridiplantae, Streptophyta, Magnoliopsida, Malvales, Malvaceae. The record is from RefSeq and is a predicted model, not a curated record. The transcript is spliced from 3 exons.